Long non-coding RNA from Leptopilina boulardi, 749 nucleotides. RefSeq lists it as uncharacterized. The transcript is spliced from 2 exons. Lineage: Eukaryota; Metazoa; Arthropoda; Insecta; Hymenoptera; Figitidae. The record is from RefSeq and is a predicted model, not a curated record.
UUGUGACAGCUGAGUAUACAAAUGAAUAUUCGUCUUCCUGGUGCUCUUGAAUAUUCGGGAAUCUCUUCCAAAUAUAUACACCAGGAAGCACUUCCCUUGUGGUACGUCAAACAUUAUUAAUGAUAUGGAAAAACUGACUCAUUUUGUUGAAUCGGAGAAUUACUCCGAUUAAUGUCCAUUUUUCAUGAAAUAGAAAAAUAAUAAAAUGAUAAUGUGGACAACAAUUUACUGUUUCCGUUGAAUCGAUCUGGCGAGUCAGCAGAAAUGAUGGUGAUUCCCACCCUGGAAUAUAUUUUUUUACUAUUUAUCUAUAAAAAAAUUAAGGAAUAUUGUGACGAGCAUAAAAUGCCGCGUCACAGCGUUUAAAAGAAGUGUACAAGUUAAUUGUAAAAUAUUUUGUUGAAAUUUUAUUUUCUAGACAUGUUUUAAAUGCAAAAGAAAUUGAAGUUUUUAUUAAAAAAAUUAUAAAACGUUAAUGAUAAGACUUGAAAGAAAAAAUGACUUUUCAUCCAGUUUAGAAUUUAAGACUUUAUUUGUUGAUAUAAUUACUUUUAAUCUGAAACAUUUGUCAACAACUAUUUGCGAAGUUAUUCGUAGAGUUGGUAGCAUUGGACAUAGUGUAAUAUAAACAACUUGUGUAGAGGCAGGCUGCAAAGAAGUAAGUGAGCUUGAGUAUUAUCAAAGCCUAAAUAAUUUUUUACCUUGUUUUUUAAGUACUUUUUCUACUAAAUAAAUAUUUGAAUAUUUAA